RNAcentral lists this ribosomal RNA (465 nucleotides) under uncultured bacterium. Its description in RNAcentral is "partial 16S ribosomal RNA". It matches the Rfam family "Bacterial small subunit ribosomal RNA", at positions 338 to 795 of the family's 1533-position model. The record is from RNAcentral.
CCUACGGGAGGCAGCAGUAGGGAAUCUUCCACAAUGGGCGCAAGCCUGAUGGAGCAACACCGCGUGAGUGAAGAAGGGUUUCGGCUCGUAAAGCUCUGUUGUUGGAGAAGAACGUGCGUGAGAGUAACUGUUCACGCAGUGACGGUAUCCAACCAGAAGGUCACGGCUAACUACGUGCCAGCAGCCGCGGUAAUACGUAGGUGGCAAGCGUUAUCCGGAUUUAUUUGGCGUAAGGCGAGCGCAGGCGGUUGCUUAGGUCUGAUGUGAAAGCCUUCGGCUUAACCGAAGAAGUGCAUCGGAAACCGGGCGACGUGAGUGCAGAAGAGGACAGUGGAACUCCAUGUGUAGCGGUGGAAUGCGUAGAUAUAUGGAAGAACACCAGUGGCGAAGGCGGCUGUCUGGUCUGCAACUGACGCUGAGGCUCGAAAGCAUGGGUAGCGAACAGGAUUAGAUACCCGGGUAGUC